Long non-coding RNA from Eptesicus fuscus (big brown bat), 589 nucleotides. RefSeq lists it as uncharacterized. The record is from RefSeq and is a predicted model, not a curated record. The transcript has 3 exons. Lineage: Eukaryota; Metazoa; Chordata; Mammalia; Chiroptera; Vespertilionidae.
CCUGCAGACUGUGUAACAGACACUAGGGUUUUAUUUAGCUAUUUAUGUCUGGGUAUCAGAAUUCUAUUUUUAUUUUGUUUUCUUUUUGAUCCCUAAUUAUGGUUUCUCCUCAUAUAUUCUCCCAAAUGUGGGGAGCAGAUGUUGAAAGGAUUUGUGCAAUUGAAAGGAGCAAGACUAAGCUUUGAACAAAGGAAAUUCAUCCGAAAAUGCCAUGGAAGUUUGAAAAUGCAGUUGAAGUACAAACACUGCCUGUAUAAUUAUUCAACGUUUAAUUGAUUUGAAACAAUGGGUGAAGCCAGACUAAGCUUUGAACAACAACAAAAAAAUUAUGAACUAAACUUUUUUAUGGGGAUAUGUAAAAGAUAAAGCAUAAUGUACAAAACUGGCAACAGUUGACAAACUGAGGGCUCACAAAUACUGAACGAAAUGAUUCUAGAUGUUUGUGAUUCCAUUGCUUUGCAUUAACAGCAGUUCCUGGACCAGAAGUCAUCAGUUUGAAAACAGGCAUUGACAAAAAAAAAAAGUAUUCAUUUCUGUAAAUUCUUUUAAAUUCUGAAAAUGAACUGUAUAUUAAUAAACACUGACUUUA